This 451-nucleotide ribosomal RNA is filed under the name uncultured bacterium. RNAcentral's name for it is "partial 16S ribosomal RNA". It matches the Rfam family "Bacterial small subunit ribosomal RNA", at positions 354 to 796 of the family's 1533-position model. The record is from RNAcentral.
GUGGGGAAUAUUGGGCAAUGGGCGCAAGCCUGACCCAGCGACGCCGCGUGGGCGAUGAAGGCCUUCGGGUUGUAAAGCCCUGUCAUGCGGAAAGAACGACCCUGUGACGCAUACUCACAGGGAGUGACGGUACCGCAGGAGGAAGCACCGGCUAACUCCGUGCCAGCAGCCGCGGUAAUACGGAGGGUGCAAGCGUUGUUCGGAAUUAUUGGGCGUAAAGGGCGCGUAGGCGGUAAUGUAAGUCAGAUGUGAAAUACUCCGGCUCAACCAGAGAACAGCAUCUGAAACUGCAUAACUAGAGUACAGAAGAGGGAAACGGAAUUCCCGGUGUAGAGGUGAAAUUCGUAGAUAUCGGGAGGAACACCAGUGGCGAAGGCGGUUUCCUGGUCUGAUACUGACGCUGAGGCGCGAAAGCGUGGGGAGCAAACAGGAUUAGAUACCCUUGUAGUCC